Molecule: small nuclear RNA, 107 nt
Organism: Suncus etruscus (white-toothed pygmy shrew)
Lineage: Eukaryota; Metazoa; Chordata; Mammalia; Eulipotyphla; Soricidae
Source: RefSeq, a predicted model, not a curated record
GUGCUCGCUCCAGCUGCACAUAUAAUAAAAUUGGAACCAUACAGAGAAGAUUAGCAUGGCCCCUGCGCAAGGAUGACACACAAACGCAUGAAGUGUUCCAUAUUUUU